This 271-nucleotide ribosomal RNA is filed under the name uncultured bacterium. Its description in RNAcentral is "partial 16S ribosomal RNA". It matches the Rfam family "Bacterial small subunit ribosomal RNA", at positions 524 to 794 of the family's 1533-position model. The record is from RNAcentral.
UACGUAGGGGGCAAGCGUUGUCCGGAUUUAUUGGGCGUAAAGCGCUCGCAGGUGGUCCGUUGCGUCGUGCGUGAAAGCCCCGGGCUCAACUCGGGAACUGCGCUUGAUACUGUCGAGCUAGAGUGUGGAAGGGGCGAUUGGAAUUCCGUGUGUAGCGGUGAAAUGCGUAGAUAUACGGAGGAACACCAGAGGCGAAGGCGGAUCGCUGGGCCAACACUGACGCUGAGACGCGAAAGCUAGGGUAGCAAACGGGAUUAGAUACCCUUGUAGU